UCCUUAGAUGUCCUGGGCCGCACGCGCGUUACACUGAUGCAUUCAACGAGCUUAUAACCUUGGCCGAGAGGCCUGGGCAAUCUUGUUAACGUGCAUCGUGAUAGGGAUAGAUUAUUGAAAUUAUUAAUCUUGAACGAGGAAUUCCUAGUAAACGCAGAUCAUCAAUCUGCAUUGAUUACGUCCCUGCCCUUUGUACACACCGCCCGUCGCACCUACCGAUUGGAUGGUCCGGUGAAGCCUCGGGAUUGUGGUUCUUGCCGCUUUAUUGUGGCGUGACCGCGAGAACUUGUCUAAACCUUAUCAUCUAGAGGAAGGUGAAGUCGUANCA
RNAcentral lists this ribosomal RNA (328 nucleotides) under uncultured eukaryote. RNAcentral's name for it is "partial 18S ribosomal RNA". It matches the Rfam family "Eukaryotic small subunit ribosomal RNA", at positions 1470 to 1796 of the family's 1831-position model. The record is from RNAcentral.